This 206-nucleotide ribosomal RNA is filed under the name uncultured bacterium. RNAcentral's name for it is "partial 16S ribosomal RNA". It matches the Rfam family "Bacterial small subunit ribosomal RNA", at positions 568 to 774 of the family's 1533-position model. The record is from RNAcentral.
CGGGCAGGUGGUCUUUUAAGUCCUUUGUGAAAUCCCGGGGCUCAACUCCGGAUGUGCAUAGGAUACUGGAGGACUGGAGACUGGUAGAGGCGAGCGGAAUUCCUGGUGUAGCGGUGGAAUGCGUAGAUAUCAGGAAGAACACCGGUGGCGAAGGCGGCUCGCUGGGCCAGUUCUGACACUCAUCCGCGAAAGCGUGGGAGCAAACA